Molecule: ribosomal RNA, 497 nt
Filed under: uncultured bacterium
Lineage: Bacteria
Description: partial 16S ribosomal RNA
Rfam family: Bacterial small subunit ribosomal RNA
Source: RNAcentral
GAUGAACGCUGGCGGCGUGCCUAAUACAUGCAAGUCGAGCGAACGCACGAUAAGCUUUCGCCCCUGAUGUUAGCGGCUGACGGGUGAGUAAGACGUGGAUAAGCUACCUAUAAGACUGGGAUAACUUCGGGAAACCGGAUCUAAUACCGGCGGAUAUUUUGAACGGCAUGGUUCAAAAGUUAAUGACGGCCUGGCCGUCACUUUUAGAUGGAUCCGGGUUGCAUUAGCUAGUUGGUAAGGUAACGGCUUACCAAGGCAACGAUGCAUAGCCGACCUGAGAGGGUGAUCAGCCACACUGGAACUGAGACACGGUCCAGACUCCUACGGGAGGCAGCAGUAGGGAAUAUUGGACAAUGGGCGCAAGCCUGAUGCAGCAAUACCGCGUGAGUGAAGAAGGUCUUCGGGUCGUAAAGCCCUUUUAUUAGGGAAGAAAAUAUGCAGAAGUAACCGCGCAUGUCUUGACGGUACCUAAUCAAAAAGCCACGGCUAACUUCGUG